AGGACGCCAGGUUUUCAACCUGGAAAGAGGGGUUCGAUUCCCCU
RNAcentral lists this transfer RNA (44 nucleotides) under Thalassiosira minuscula. Its description in RNAcentral is "partial tRNA". It matches the Rfam family "tRNA", at positions 20 to 63 of the family's 71-position model. Rfam says of the family: Transfer RNA (tRNA) molecules are approximately 80 nucleotides in length. Lineage: Eukaryota; Bacillariophyta; Thalassiosirophyceae; Thalassiosirales; Thalassiosiraceae. The record is from RNAcentral.